RNAcentral lists this ribosomal RNA (560 nucleotides) under uncultured eukaryote. RNAcentral describes it as "bacterial SSU rRNA". It matches the Rfam family "Eukaryotic small subunit ribosomal RNA", at positions 319 to 877 of the family's 1831-position model. The record is from RNAcentral.
CUCGAGACGGCGGGGUAGAGGCCCGCCGCGGUAACGACGGGUAACGGGGAAUCAGGGUUCGAUUCCGGAGAGGGAGCCCGAGAAACGGCUACCACUUCCAAGGAAGGCAGCAGGCGCGCAACUUACCCUAAUCUCGAUUCGAGGAGGUAGUGACAAGAAAUACCGAUGCGGGACCCUACGGGUGCCGCGUUCGGAAUGAGUACGAUUCGAACCACCUAACGAGGAACGAUCGGAGGGCAAGUCUGGUGCCAGCAGCCGCGGUAAUUCCAGCUCCAAUAGCGUACGUUAAAGUUGCUGCAGUUAAAAAGCUCGUAGUUGAACGUUCGGGUUCCGCGGGACGGGCCGCCCCGCGAGGGACGGCGCCGCCCCGGGGCUCGUGAUAUCUUAUCUCGCCGCCCGUCGCGAGGCGGACGGAGGGAUGGAUGAGGUUACCUGGAAAAAAAUCGGGGCGAUCUAGGCGGGCGAACCUCGCCAACGAACGAUCGGACAUGGGAUAACGGAAGAGGGCGUCGGCUCGACUUCGUCGGUUCCUCGGGCCGAGGCACGUACGGUGAAUAGGG